Molecule: ribosomal RNA, 22 nt
Filed under: Eimeria flavescens
Lineage: Eukaryota; Apicomplexa; Conoidasida; Eucoccidiorida; Eimeriidae
Description: partial 28S ribosomal RNA
Source: RNAcentral
GACCUGAAAUCAGUCGAGAUUA